GGGGAGCAAUCCCUGAGUAGAGUGGCAAACGGGUGAGUAACACGUGGGUGACCUGCCUCAGAGUGGGGGAUAACGUCCCGAAAGGGACGCUAAUACCGCAUAACAUCCUGCCUUUGGAAAGGCGGAGAUCAAAGCCGGGGAUCGCAAGACCUGGCGCUUGGAGAGGGGCCCGCGUCUGAUUAGCUAGUUGGUAGGGUAAUGGCCUACCAAGGCGACGAUCAGUAUCCGGCCUGAGAGGGCGGACGGACACACUGGGACUGAGACACGGCCCAGACUCCUACGGGAGGCAGCAGUGGGGAAUUGUUCGCAAUGGGCGCAAGCCUGACGACGCAACGCCGCGUGGAGGAUGAAGAUCUUCGGGUCGUAAACUCCUGUCGAGCGGGACGAACACUUAUCUGGUGAAUACCCAGGUAGGCUGACGGUACCGCUAAAGGAAGCCCCGGCUAACUCCGUGCCAGCAGCCGCGGUAAUACGGGGGGGGCAAGCGUUGUUCGGAAUUACUGGGCGUAAAGGGCUCGUAGGCGGCCAACUAAGUCGGACGUGAAAUCCCCAGGCUCAACCUGGGAACUGCGUCCGAUACUGGAUGGCUUGAAUCCGGGAGAGGGAUGCAGAAUUCCAGGUGUAGCGGUGAAAUGCGUAGAUAUCUGGAGGAAUACCGGUGGCGAAGGCGGCAUCCUGGACCGGCAUUGACGCUGAGGAGCGAAAGCCAGGGGAGCAAACGGGAUUAGAUACCCCGGUAGUCCUGGCCCUAAACGAUGAAUGCUUGGUGUAACGGGUAUCGAUCCCUGUUGUGCCGAAGCU
Molecule: ribosomal RNA, 801 nt
Filed under: uncultured Bacillota bacterium
Lineage: Bacteria; Bacillati; Bacillota
Description: bacterial SSU rRNA
Rfam family: Bacterial small subunit ribosomal RNA
Source: RNAcentral